Passer domesticus (house sparrow) is the source of this 336-nucleotide long non-coding RNA. RefSeq lists it as uncharacterized. NCBI's taxonomy places the organism in Eukaryota, Metazoa, Chordata, Aves, Passeriformes, Passeridae. The transcript is spliced from 2 exons. The record is from RefSeq and is a predicted model, not a curated record.
GGAGGACAAUAUCGAGGAGAUGGAAGUGGACGAGGAGGAUGAGGAGGAGCCCAUGGUCCUUGGAUGAAGAUGGAGCCCCACAAGACUGCUGGAGAUGACGGCCGUAGAUAUUACGCCUCUGUAUAUAUGUUUGAAAAAUUAGAAGAUUGUUGUAAAUAUGUUCUUAGUUUAGUAGUUCUUUGUAAAUAUGUUUUGAAGAUUGUUAGUCCAUAGGAUCCCAUAGAAAUAUGUGCUGUAGAUUGUUGUUGUUGUUAUAAGGAUUGUUGUAAUGAAAGUUGUUCUGUAAAUCCUCGUGUUUGCCGAUCUUCGGCAAAUAAAUAAUGAUUCUUUAUAAAA